This is a small nuclear RNA of Bufo gargarizans (Asiatic toad), 193 nucleotides long. RefSeq annotates it as U2 spliceosomal RNA. The record is from RefSeq and is a predicted model, not a curated record. Lineage: Eukaryota; Metazoa; Chordata; Amphibia; Anura; Bufonidae. The transcript has a single exon.
UGCGUUUCUCAGCCUUUUGGCUAAGAUCAAGUGCAGUAUCUGUUCUUAUCAGUCUGCCUUGACUUGCUGGCUCAGGUCCUUUGGGUACCCCCAGCACUCUGCCUUUGAGCAUCGUUGAUUAAAUUCAGAUUUAGCUCACUGCUGCUAUUGGGUGUAGGGCUAUUCCCCUAGGAACAAGAGUGUUCUAGCCUCU